Megalopta genalis is the source of this 827-nucleotide non-coding RNA. The record is from RefSeq and is a predicted model, not a curated record. NCBI's taxonomy places the organism in Eukaryota, Metazoa, Arthropoda, Insecta, Hymenoptera, Halictidae.
ACUAUUGGCUCCGUUCAAAAGCUACUUCUCACAGAUUGAUUAUGCAUAAUGCGAUGUUUUGAGGUUAUAGUGACCUACAGAAAUUACAUAUGAUAGUUAUUUUUCCCACGUGCCGUAAGAGGACACAGUGCUCAGUAAACGAUACGACUGACGUUGCGCUGUCACAUGUGCGAUACAUAGAUUCUUACUAGAAAUCUCCAUCACGAGUUAGACUCGUUAACGGACUAGACUAGUCACGUGAUUUUACGGAUUCAGCAGGACGGUAUCUUCUGUACAGAUUUCAUUACAUAAAUGGUAUUAUCUAGAGAUGUAUAGCUGCUUGAUAAAUACGAGAUGGAGCCACCGGCGUUUUCUAUUAGGAAUUUAAAAGGUCUGUAAUACUAUACUUGCGGACGCAUGCGCACUAACUUCAGUCUCUUUCCACCAAUCAGGUGCUCUCUAUGCACCACCUUUAUUUGAACACACUUCAUCGCCAGCUUCGGGAAGUUUGAUGGACUUCUUCAAUCAGUGUGAAAAUUAAUGAGAAAAAUUUGUAUUUCUCACCGAUUAAACGAGUAACGAAGUAACGGAGAAUUGAAAAGAAAGGAGUAAGCUGUUACAAAUUAGGUAUGUCCCGUGUAGAUAUAUAUUCUAACGUAGAUAUCACAUUCAUAUUUACAAAUAACAUGAGUAACAAAUAUUUGAAGUAUGUACAAAAUAAUUUUAGUGUAUCAUAAGAUACACACGUGAAGUAAAAGCUUUGUGCCGAUUCCAUGUCCAUCGAAAUCGGUUCUAUCUUCCAUUUUUAAUAAAAGCUUUUCGUAUACAAUAAAUAAUACCAAACCGAA